Molecule: long non-coding RNA, 716 nt
Organism: Malurus melanocephalus (red-backed fairy wren)
Lineage: Eukaryota; Metazoa; Chordata; Aves; Passeriformes; Maluridae
Exons: 7
Source: RefSeq, a predicted model, not a curated record
UUAAUGUCCUUACUGUCACAUAAAUGUUACAAAUUUGACUUUAAAACAACCCAAUGAUAAAAUAUUUUUCAGAAGAGAAAGGACAAGCUUUGGGGACUACAAUACUUAAGACUUGUGAUUCAGGAAGAACACAGACUUAACCUGCGGUCARGAGUCAUUCAGAAGGCAUUAAAAAUUCAAGAAGGGGUCAAAAUUGAAAUUACAUUGAACAAGAUAUUUUGUCAUGAGCUAGUGGCCUGRAUAACCUUAAUAAGAAAUGUAUGUACGUACUCAGGAGAAGGGGAUGUGAAUAACUGAAAGUGCCCAGGCUUUUGACAGGCUCUUCCAUGUCACCCACCCAGCCUGCAGAGCAGGUCAUGGUUUGGAUAGCUUGGGAAUACCUGCACUUGUGGUAAUCUUAAUUAAAGGUGGAUGRAUGCAGCUGAAUUCAACAGUUUCAAGUAGCCAAGUUUAGAUUUUUAACCAGAAAGCCAGAAGGCUUUGGAGAACAGCUCUCAAAUUCAAAUUUACCCCAUCUUAUUGGAAUUUGGAUCAGACAGGAGUGUCUUGGCAUGACCUGUGCUUACUUCUCCCAAGAAGUCUGCAGCCCUGUGAUUUACAUCUAGACCUUUGAGGCUUCCUAAUAACUAUUGCCAGAAAUAUGCACAAAUAAUUCMCAGCAGCCUGUGGUGACUUGUUGAAUGGUGCAUUAAACCUGAAGAAGAGGUAUUUAUGCC